AUUGGUUUUCAUCGAUUUUUUGUUUUUAAAAUUCAAAGAAACGGCUUGAGGUAUUCUGAGCAGUUAUAAAAAUUAAUUUGUGUUGAAUAUUGCUACUACAUUCUUGAAAAAGGGAUGUAGAUUUAUAGCCCAUAACUUUUUUGAAUUCCAUCGACGAUAUGGCGUCGAAAGAAACAUAAAUAGACCGUAUAAAAGAAAAAA
This is a non-coding RNA of Staphylococcus microti, 201 nucleotides long. Lineage: Bacteria; Bacillati; Bacillota; Bacilli; Caryophanales; Staphylococcaceae. The record is from Rfam.